This 306-nucleotide unclassified non-coding RNA is filed under the name Hevea brasiliensis (rubber tree). Lineage: Eukaryota; Viridiplantae; Streptophyta; Magnoliopsida; Malpighiales; Euphorbiaceae. The record is from RNAcentral.
CAGGUAUAUCCCUACACUUCUGUUCUCGUAUUAAAUUUCAAAGCAAACACAGCUAGUAUUAGAAUCCUAUAAGAGGAAAUUUGUGUAUGGGUGAAGUUCCAAGGUUCACUUGACCACGGUUAUCCAACAACAACAUCAAAAAACUGGAGAAAAAGGGGUGUACGGGAGAAGAACAGAAGAAAUCUGAUUAGGUUUUACAGCAUUGUUGAUUCAAAUCUGUCUUAAACCCAGCAGACACAUGCCAUUGUUUUGCGAAAAAUUCCCAGAAAAUAUAGUAGGGAAACUAGAUCCUUCUCAUGACUCCAG